This 77-nucleotide transfer RNA is filed under the name Desulfurella acetivorans. RNAcentral describes it as "tRNA-Trp". It matches the Rfam family "tRNA". From Rfam's summary of the family: Transfer RNA (tRNA) molecules are approximately 80 nucleotides in length. Their secondary structure includes four short double-helical elements and three loops (D, anti-codon, and T loops). Lineage: Bacteria; Pseudomonadati; Campylobacterota; Desulfurellia; Desulfurellales; Desulfurellaceae. The record is from RNAcentral. RNAcentral also lists the same sequence under 1 other name.
AGGUCAGUAGCUCCAAUUGGUAGAGCGGCGGUCUCCAAAACCGCAGGUUGGGGGUUCGAGUCCCUCCUGGCCUGCCA